RNAcentral lists this microRNA (19 nucleotides) under Mus musculus (house mouse). Its description in RNAcentral is "mmu-miR-5127". The record is from miRBase by way of RNAcentral. Lineage: Eukaryota; Metazoa; Chordata; Mammalia; Rodentia; Muridae.
UCUCCCAACCCUUUUCCCA